RNAcentral lists this unclassified non-coding RNA (263 nucleotides) under Hevea brasiliensis (rubber tree). The record is from RNAcentral. Lineage: Eukaryota; Viridiplantae; Streptophyta; Magnoliopsida; Malpighiales; Euphorbiaceae.
UGCAAAAUCUAUGUUGUGGGUCGGAAUCUUCGUGUUGCUGUGGGUCACAUCUAUAAGCUGAAGCAAAAAGGCACUUGUGAACAAAAAUGGAGCUUUAGUGUUACAUGGCAUGUAGUAGAUCCACCAAAUAGUUUUUCUGACUUGACGCCCUCGAGCUCUCAGGUUCUGUUUGCUUAGCUUUUCAGUGAUAUUUGCAUGUUGUCCUGCAUGCUAUUGAAUAAAUCGUAACUAUACGUAUUUGUGAAAGCUGUAGAGUGCUAAUG